Molecule: long non-coding RNA, 1036 nt
Organism: Homo sapiens (human)
Lineage: Eukaryota; Metazoa; Chordata; Mammalia; Primates; Hominidae
Exons: 6
Source: RefSeq, a predicted model, not a curated record
AUUCCUAAAAGCCAAAUUUAACAACACAUCCAGCCUCAGACUCAGCAACUAUACCCCAGACCAUUUGCAUCAUGCUUGGAGUAUACUGUUAGAAUACAGAAAGGCAGCUGUGUAAAGAAAUAAGGGUCAUGAAAUCUGAUGAAGAGUUAUGAGGUCAUAUACAAGAAGGUGGGAAAAUAAGGAGAUCAUCAGAAAAAAAAAAGACUCAGAAGAAAACUAGUGGUUUUUGUUGCUGUUUUGUGUUGUUUUUAUCAACUCUGUGCCAGCCACUCUGACAAUUCACAGAUGCCAUCUCAUUUGUAAAACCAUCUCAUCUGUAAACCAUCAGAGUUGAUCUUCUAUUAUUCUCAUUUUAUAUGCUUGGAAAUUAAUACUGAAAAUUUGGACUGGGUAUCCAAGGCAAGACACCUAACUAGAUGCCACCAGGAAGAACAUCUCCCACAAAAACAGACCAAAAUAUCCAGUAAAUCAGCAUACUCAGAACAGAUCAUCUGAAGGAAUGAACUAAAAGAGAUUAGAAAGACAACCCAGACACCAGGAUGAAAGGGAGAGGAAGCUGGGAAUCCUUCUUGGGGUUGCUGAAUAUGGGACAUGUUCCAGGCCCUGAAUGGCUCUGAGUUACGUCCCUGGACUUUGGGACUCAUUCUGCUCGACUUGAUCCCUGCUCUGCCCAUUGAUCACAUACACACGUUUACACCUGGCAGAAGAGGAAGAGGAGGCAUGAAGGAAUGGCCUCUUCAGAAUGGAGAAAAGUUAAUUAUCCUGUGGAGUGCUCUGAAGAAUGUGGAGAGAAAACCUUCCCCAUGAGAACAUGCCUAAGACAGACUGCUGAAGAAGGCGGCAAAUGGAACAGCGCUGAAUCAGCCUGGUCAUCCCAGUCAAGCCUCCAGACAUGUAAGCACCCUCCUCUGAUCUGCAGAGCUGCCUGGCCCAAAUACUGUUGACCACUCUUGAGUAAGCCCCACCAAGAUCAGCUGAGAACAGUAGAACUGACCAGAUGACUCUAACCUCAUGAAUAAAUCCAAGUGUUUUUUUA